CUUUUCAGUUAUAAAAAGGUCUUCCAAUCUGAACAGACAAAGCUAUUCCAGCAUUUCUAUUUGUUUAAGAAAAUAGGUCUAAAUUGAUGAAACUAAUCAUUUUAUACUAAGUGCUCUUUUUAAAGACAAUUGCUGAUUGCCUGCCCCUUUUGUAGCUGUAGCUGAGCCCGAGAUGGUACAAAAUAACCAUCUUGCCAGUUGUCACAACUAUUUGCUCCUUCUUUAAUUAAACAUAAUAUAGAAAACAGUAUAAUUCACAUCUAAUUAGAAACCAACUUCUGUAGACGGUGAACUCUUUCCAGAACUGGCGUUAAGAUCACGUCUAACGAUUACAAAGUUGUUUAUCUUCUUUGCCGGCCUCGAUUUCAUGUCUGAACUCCCUGCACCCACUUCUUGAUUUUUUAAGAAGAGAUUCCUUGGUGCUGCCUCCUUCCUUUCCAAGAGGCGAUGAUGGUAAUGUUAGUGGAGGGAAAUCGCUGUAUCCAGGCUGAUUUCAUUAACAUGUGUCUCAUCAGGAUCCUGAGUCUCCCUUUGUGCUAGAACGAAAGCAGGUUUUUUCCACUCAGUGAAACAGAUAAUGAACCCCAAAAUGCGCUGAAUCACAAUGACUUAGCACUUUUCACCUUCGCCCAAUCACCAAGAAGGUUUCAAGUGAUUUGCGAGUCUAUUAAUUCGAUAUUAAUUUGCCAAGUCAUUCUACGCGGUAAAUCUUCUGCAGCCCGAGCUUUUGGAAAACCGUUUUGGAGCGAUAUAUUCCUCCUGCCUGUUUCACAGUCUUGUGAGGGAGGCGAUGGUCCCCCGCCCUCGAGAUACGGAACGUGGGAACAGAGGAAGAGCGAUUUUCUGAUGCCAGCCGGGGAGCACAGAAGCCUCACAGCUUGGCUUACUCAGCCAGCAUUCACUGGGCGCCUACUAAAUGCAGACGCUCUAGAUUCCGGGGCCUGAAAGCCCGAUGGUGGUCUCACGGGAGUUCCACUUCGACGAAGACGGACAAAGAGACGGACGGCCAGGCCACCGCCUAUCUGUGGUGCUGGUUGCUGCAAAUGCAAAAUCCUGGUUUGUGAGCCCCGACCUCCGAAGAAGAAAGGAGCUAUCUGAACCCAAAUGCUUCAUUAAGUGCUUUCCAGCUUUCCACCAGUUCAAAGGGCUCGGAGGGGACCGUCUGGCCCCUUCUCGGAGGACACGAAUGGAAGCCCGCUCGCCCAUAGGCACACUCACUUGCAGUUGGUGAGACGGACCCGCUCAGGUGGAGAGCCACUCAGAGGUGCGUUCAGGACCAGCCCAAGCGUCAACGCAUUCCGCAAGAGGGCGGUCCGGACUGCGGGUGCCACGUCAUCUCUGGCUUGGGUCACAGACCCAAAACAAGCCCACGUUGCCGUGGCCCCGUGCUCCUGAGGUACUUCUGGGGGGGACGCCGGCUUGGACAACGUUGUUUUGAUGACUUCGAUGAAGGUGGUGGAACUAAUUCCCACUCGAAUGGGUGGUUGUUUAUUUCUGCUUCGCGUGAAUCAGAGGUAAUUGUUUUGAAUAGCCUUUCAUGGCGGCUCUGUGUACCGGGGCCAUCUGGUGCCGAUGUCCCCGCUUCUCCACUUGUGGCUUUUAAGACACGCUUCCCUCUCCCACCGUGAGGCUGCUCUUCUGAUUCAGCCAUCGGUGGUUCACGGAGCUCACGUCCAAAGACCCCAUUCAGAGGCGAGCUGACGCGGACAGCUUUGGCCUCCAAAUUAGGAAAUAGUGAUUCCCGCCGUCAGCCAAGCGUUUGGGGAAGGAAGACGACAACAGCAAGGGCAACACUUGCUUGACAAACGCACAAGUGACCAUGUGACACAGGAGCUGAAUCGGUCAGGAGGAGGUCGAGGAGGCCGGGGGCUGGCACAGGUCGUGUUUGAAGGUCAAUCUUCAAGGGAUGGUAACGUGUAUAAAAUUCUUCCUAGUUUUCCCGAUUGCAUCAAUAUUUUGUUUCUGAAGGGAAUAAAGAUACCGAGUCUCAAAACAUAAA
Molecule: long non-coding RNA, 1999 nt
Organism: Felis catus (domestic cat)
Lineage: Eukaryota; Metazoa; Chordata; Mammalia; Carnivora; Felidae
Exons: 3
Source: RefSeq, a predicted model, not a curated record